GAUGAACGCUGGCGGCGUGCUUAACACAUGCAAGUCGAACGGAAAGGCUCCUGCUUGCAGGGGUUCUCGAGUGGCGAACGGGUGAGUAACACGCGUGUGAACUGCCCUGCACUUCGGGAUAAGCCUUGGAAACUGGGUCUAAUACCGGAUAGGACGAUGGUUUGGAUGCCAUUGUGGAAAGUUUUGCGGUGUUGGAUGAGCUCGCGGCCUAUGAGCUUGUUGGUGGGGUAAUGGCAUACGAAGGCGUAGACGGGUAGCCGGCCUGAGAGGGGGGACGGCCACAUUGGGACUGAGAGAGGGACCAGAAGGCAACCGGAGGCAGCAGGGGGGAGUCUUGCACAAUAGGCGCACGCCUGAUGCAGAGACGCCGCGUGGGGAAUGACGGCCUUCGGGUUGUAAACACCUUUCGAUGGAAACGAAGAGCAAGUGACGGUACCUGAAGAAGAAGCACCGGCUAACUACGUG
RNAcentral lists this ribosomal RNA (465 nucleotides) under uncultured bacterium. Its description in RNAcentral is "partial 16S ribosomal RNA". It matches the Rfam family "Bacterial small subunit ribosomal RNA", at positions 28 to 507 of the family's 1533-position model. The record is from RNAcentral.